UACGGAGGGGGCUAGCGUUGUUCGGAAUUACUGGGCGUAAAGCGCACGUAGGCGGCCUGUUCAGUCGGGGGUGAAAUCCUGGGGCUCAACCUCAGAAUUGCCUCCGAUACUGGCAGUCUCGAGUGCAGGAGAGGUGAGUGGAAUUCCCAGUGUAGAGGUGAAAUUCGUAGAUAUUGGGAAGAACACCAGUGGCGAAGGCGGCUCACUGGCCCGUAACUGACGCUGAGGUGCGAAAGCGUGGGGAGCAAACAGG
Molecule: ribosomal RNA, 253 nt
Filed under: uncultured bacterium
Lineage: Bacteria
Description: partial 16S ribosomal RNA
Rfam family: Bacterial small subunit ribosomal RNA
Source: RNAcentral